CCAAUAGCGUAUAUUAAAGUUGUUGCAGUUAAAAAGCUCGUAGUUGAACUUCGGGGUUUACCCAUUGGUCAGGCUUAAUCGUCUGUACUGGUGAGAUGAAUCUCUACCUUCUGAGGAACUUUCAUGCCAUUUAUUUGGUGUGAUUGGAAAUUAGGGCUGUUACUUUGAAAAAAUUAGAGUGUUUAAAGCAGGCUAACGUAUGAAUCAUUUAGAAUGGAAAUAUGAAAUAAGACGGACUGAUUCUAUUUCGUUGGUUUCUAGGAUCACCGUAAUGAUUAAUAGGGAUAGUUGGGGGCAUUAGUAUUCAAUUGUCAGAGGUGAAAUUCUUGGAUUUAUUGAAGACUAACUACUGCGAAAGCAUUUGCCAAGGAUGUUUUCAUUAAUCAAGAACGAAAGUUAGGGGAUCGAAGACGAUCAGAUACCGUCGUAGUCUUAACCAUAAACUAUGCCGACUAGGGAUCGGACGAAGUUAAUUUUAUAAUGACGCGUUCGGCACCUUACG
This 502-nucleotide ribosomal RNA is filed under the name uncultured Glomeromycotina. Its description in RNAcentral is "partial small subunit ribosomal RNA". It matches the Rfam family "Eukaryotic small subunit ribosomal RNA", at positions 591 to 1092 of the family's 1831-position model. Lineage: Eukaryota; Fungi; Glomeromycota. The record is from RNAcentral.